This 480-nucleotide ribosomal RNA is filed under the name uncultured bacterium. Its description in RNAcentral is "partial 16S ribosomal RNA". It matches the Rfam family "Bacterial small subunit ribosomal RNA", at positions 30 to 506 of the family's 1533-position model. The record is from RNAcentral.
UUGAACGCUGGCGGCAUGCCUUACACAUGCAAGUCGAACGGUAACGGGCCUUCGGGUGCCGACGAGUGGCGAACGGGUGAGUAAUACAUCGGAACGUGCCCGAUCGUGGGGGAUAACGAGGCGAAAGCUUUGCUAAUACCGCAUACGAUCUACGGAUGAAAGCAGGGGACCGCAAGGCCUUGCGCGGACGGAGCGGCCGAUGGCAGAUUAGGUAGUUGGUGGGAUAAAAGCUUACCAAGCCGACGAUCUGUAGCUGGUCUGAGAGGAUGAUCAGCCACACUGGGACUGAGACACGGCCCAGACUCCUACGGGAGGCAGCAGUGGGGAAUUUUGGACAAUGGGCGCAAGCCUGAUCCAGCCAUGCCGCGUGCAGGAUGAAGGCCUGCGGGUUGUAAACUGCUUUUGUACGGAACGAAAAGCCUUCUUUUAAUACAGGAGGGUCAUGACGGUACCGUAAGAAUAAGCACCGGCUAACUACGU